Long non-coding RNA from Cyprinodon variegatus (sheepshead minnow), 384 nucleotides. RefSeq lists it as uncharacterized. NCBI's taxonomy places the organism in Eukaryota, Metazoa, Chordata, Actinopteri, Cyprinodontiformes, Cyprinodontidae. The transcript is spliced from 3 exons. The record is from RefSeq and is a predicted model, not a curated record.
GAAACAGGGUUAUGUUUAUAAUCCUUGUGCUUAUCAUAGUUACUGCAGUCAUUGCAAUUUUCAUUUCAGUCAUCAGACGUAGAGGGUGUCAGAAAGGAAACAAAGACAUGGACAAUACAAUAUAUGCAUGUCCUGUGGUAGAGGAUUCUCUUGACAGACGAAAUGAAACAGUUAAAGAUGAAGAUUGUUCCCCAACUACAACCUACAGCACAGUGGGAGCUUCAAGUAAGGAAUCCACUAAGAGUAGAGUCAAAGACCAACCAGAGACUGUGUAUGCACAGGUAAACAAGCUGUCCAGAUGACUCAACUUUAAAAAGAACUGGAAUAUCUGUGUGGACUCCAACUGCUUGUGUUUGCAGUAGCAGUACAUUCUGGACUGCUUUA